RNAcentral lists this ribosomal RNA (207 nucleotides) under uncultured bacterium. RNAcentral's name for it is "partial 16S ribosomal RNA". It matches the Rfam family "Bacterial small subunit ribosomal RNA", at positions 568 to 774 of the family's 1533-position model. The record is from RNAcentral.
CACGUAGGCGGAUCGAUAAGUCGGGGGUGAAAGCCCGAGGCUCAACCUCGGAACUGCCUUCGAUACUGUCGAUCUGGAGUCCGGGAGAGGUGAGUGGAACUCCUAGUGUAGAGGUGAAAUUCGUAGAUAUUAGGAAGAACACCAGUGGCGAAGGCGGCUCACUGGCCCGGUACUGACGCUGAUGUGCGAAAGCGUGGGGAGCAAACA